RNAcentral lists this ribosomal RNA (254 nucleotides) under uncultured bacterium. Its description in RNAcentral is "partial 16S ribosomal RNA". It matches the Rfam family "Bacterial small subunit ribosomal RNA", at positions 524 to 776 of the family's 1533-position model. The record is from RNAcentral.
UACGUAGGGUGCAAGCGUUGUCCGGAAUUAUUGGGCGUAAAGAGCUCGUAGGCGGUUUGUCGCGUCUGCUGCGAAAACCCGAGGCUCAACCUCGGGCCUGCAGUGGGUACGGGCAGACUAGAGUGCGGUAGGGGAGAUUGGAAUUCCUGGUGUAGCGGUGGAAUGCGCAGAUAUCAGGAGGAACACCGGUGGCGAAGGCGGGUCUCUGGGCAACAACUGACGCUGGAGGAGCGAAAGCGUGGGGAGCGAACAGG